CAGUCCAGGUGGUCGCCUUCGCCACUGAGUGUUCCUUCCUAUAUCUACGCAUUUCACCGCUACACAGGAAAUUCCACCACCCUCUACCGUACUCUAGCUUGCCAGUUUUGGAUGCAGUUCCCAGGUUGAGCCCGGGGCUUUCACAUCCAACUUAACAAACCACCUACGCGCGCUUUACGCCCAGUAAUUCCGAUUAACGCUUGCACCCUCUGUAUUACCGCGGCUGCUGGCACAGAGUUAGCCGGUGCUUAUUCUGUCGGUAACGUCAAAACAGCAAGGUAUUAACUUACUGCCCUUCCUCCCAACUUAAAGUGCUUUACAAUCCGAAGACCUUCUUCACACACGCGGCAUGGCUGGAUCAGGCUUUCGCCCAUUGUCCAAUAUUCCCCACUGCUGCCUCCCGUAGGAGUCUGGACCGUGUCUCAGUUCCAGUGUGACUGAUCAUCCUCUCAGACCAGUUACGGAUCGUCGCCUUGGUGAGCCAUUACCCCACCAACUAGCUAAUCCGACCUAGGCUCAUCUGAUAGCGCAAGGCCCGAAGGUCCCCUGCUUUCUCCCGUAGGACGUAUGCGGUAUUAGCGUUCCUUUCGAAACGUUGUCCCCCACUACCAGGCAGAUUCCUAGGCAUUACUCACCCGUCCGCCGCUGAAUCAAGGAGCAAGCUCCCGUCAUCCGCUCGACUUGCAUGUGUUAGGCCUGCCGCCAGCG
RNAcentral lists this ribosomal RNA (708 nucleotides) under Pseudomonas sp. RNAcentral describes it as "partial 16S rRNA". The record is from RNAcentral. Lineage: Bacteria; Pseudomonadati; Pseudomonadota; Gammaproteobacteria; Pseudomonadales; Pseudomonadaceae.